This 253-nucleotide ribosomal RNA is filed under the name uncultured bacterium. RNAcentral's name for it is "partial 16S ribosomal RNA". It matches the Rfam family "Bacterial small subunit ribosomal RNA", at positions 524 to 776 of the family's 1533-position model. The record is from RNAcentral.
UACAGAGGGUGCGAGCGUUGUCCGGAAUCACUGGGCGUAAAGGGCGCGUAGGCGGCCUGAUAAGUAGGGGGUGAAAUCUUGCGGCUCAACCGCAAGGCUGCCUUCUAAACUGUCAGGCUGGAGCACGGUAGAGGCAGAUGGAAUUCCCGGUGUAGCGGUGGAAUGCGCAGAUAUCAGGAGGAACACCGGUGGCGAAGGCGGCACUCUGGGCCGGUACUGACGCUGAGGAGCGAAAGCGUGGGGAGCGAACAGG